This 478-nucleotide ribosomal RNA is filed under the name uncultured bacterium. RNAcentral describes it as "partial 16S ribosomal RNA". It matches the Rfam family "Bacterial small subunit ribosomal RNA", at positions 28 to 507 of the family's 1533-position model. The record is from RNAcentral.
GACGAACGCUGGCGGCGUGCUUAACACAUGCAAGUCGAACGGGAUUUAGUAGACAGAAGCCUCGGCUAAAGAUUACUAAUGAGAGUGGCGAACGGGUGAGUAACGCGUGAGCAACCUGCCUAUGACAGUGGGAUAGCCUCGGGAAACCGGGAUUAAUACCGCAUAAAAUCGUAGAAACACAUGUUUCAACGGUCAAAGAUUUAUCGGUCAUAGAUGGGCUCGCGUCUGAUUAGCUAGUUGGUGAGAUAACAGCCCACCAAGGCGACGAUCAGUAGCCGGUCUGAGAGGAUGAACGGCCACAUUGGAACUGAGACACGGUCCAAACUCCUACGGGAGGCAGCAGUGGGGAAUAUUGCACAAUGGGGGAAACACUGAUGCAGCGACGCCGCGUGAACGAAGAAGGUAUUCGUAUCGUAAAGUUCUGUCCUAUGGGAAGAUAAUGACAGUACCAUAGAAGAAAGCUCCGGCUAAAUACGUG